UGGGGAAUAUUGCACAAUGGGCGCAAGCCUGAUGCAGCCAUGCCGCGUGUGUGAAGAAGGCCUUCGGGUUGUAAAGCACUUUCAGCGGGGAGGAAGGCGUUAAGGUUAAUAACCUUGGCGAUUGACGUUACCCGCAGAAGAAGCACCGGCUAACUCCGUGCCAGCAGCCGCGGUAAUACGGAGGGUGCAAGCGUUAAUCGGAAUUACUGGGCGUAAAGCGCACGCAGGCGGUCUGUCAAGUCGGAUGUGAAAUCCCCGGGCUCAACCUGGGAACUGCAUCUGAUACUGGCAAGCUUGAGUCUCGUAGAGGGGGGUAGAAUGCCAGGUGUAGGGGUGAAAUGCGUAGAGAUAUGGUGGAAUACCGGUGGCGAAGGCGGCCCCCUGGACGAAGACUGACGCUCAGGUGCGAAAGCGUGGGGAGCAAACAGG
Molecule: ribosomal RNA, 429 nt
Filed under: Chloroflexota bacterium
Lineage: Bacteria; Bacillati; Chloroflexota
Description: Chloroflexi bacterium partial 16S ribosomal RNA
Rfam family: Bacterial small subunit ribosomal RNA
Source: RNAcentral